GGGUCCAUAGCUCAGUGGUAAGAGCAUUUGCCUGCAGAUCAGUGGUCUCAGGUUCGAACCCCAAUGGCACCU
RNAcentral lists this transfer RNA (72 nucleotides) under Prunus dulcis (almond). It matches the Rfam family "tRNA". Rfam says of the family: Transfer RNA (tRNA) molecules are approximately 80 nucleotides in length. Their secondary structure includes four short double-helical elements and three loops (D, anti-codon, and T loops). Lineage: Eukaryota; Viridiplantae; Streptophyta; Magnoliopsida; Rosales; Rosaceae. The record is from Rfam by way of RNAcentral. RNAcentral also lists the same sequence under 2 other names.